RNAcentral lists this long non-coding RNA (224 nucleotides) under Lathyrus oleraceus (garden pea). RNAcentral's name for it is "Pisum sativum (pea) long non-coding RNA (PSAT_LNC003011)". Lineage: Eukaryota; Viridiplantae; Streptophyta; Magnoliopsida; Fabales; Fabaceae. The record is from RNAcentral.
GCCUCAACCAAAGCGCAAACGAUCAUGCUAGACGCAGUUGUUCGUUUCAAUCCCUCUUUUGCCUGGACCGCCCUUUCGGGUUUUCAGUCCACCGGGAUACCCUUUUUUGCCCAAGUCGCCUUUCCAGGUUUAAAGCGCAAACGAUCAUGCUAGACGCAGUUGUUCGUUUCAAUCCCUCUUUUGCCUGGACCGCCCUUUCGGGUUUUCAGUCCACCGGGAUACCC